CGGUGUUUAACUGGCGUGAUGUGGGACGUCCUACCGGUGGGCUUAGCCUCGCGAGGGGCGGCCCAACUAAUAUCCCGUCGCGGUGCUCUUUACUGAGUGUCGAGUCGGGCCGGUACGUUUACUUUGAACAAAUUAGAGUGCUUAAAGCAGGCUAUCCUCGCCUGAAUACUGCGUGCAUGGAAUAAUGGAAUAGGACCUCGGUUCUAUUUUGUUGGUUUUCGGAACCCCGAGGUAAUGAUUAAUAGGGACAGAUGGGGGCAUUCGUAUUGCGACGUUAGAGGUGAAAUUCUUGGAUCGUCGCAAGACGGACAGAAGCGAAAGCAUUUGCCAAAAAUGUUUUCAUUAAUCAAGAACGAAAGUUAGAGGUUCGAAGGCGAUCAGAUACCGCCCUAGUUCUAACCAUAAACGAUGCCAGCUAGCGAUCCGCCGAAGUUCCUCCGAUGACUCGGCGGGCAGCUUCCGGGAAACCAAAGCUUUUGGGUUCCGGGGGAAGUAUGGUUGCAAAGCUGAAACUUAAAGGAAUUGAUGGAAGGGCACCACCAGGAGUGGAGCCUGCGGCUUAAUUUGACUCAACACGGGAAACCUCACCAGGCCCAGACACCGGAAGGAUUGACAGAUUGAUAGCUCUUUCUUGAUUCGGUGGGUGGUGGUGCAUGGCCGUUCUUAGUUGGUGGAGCGAUUUGUCUGGUUAAUUCCGAUAACGAACGAGACUCUAGCCUGCUAAAUAGGCGUACCUUAUGGUAUCGCGAAGGCCCCCGGCUUCGGCCGGUGGGUUUUUACUACCAACGUACAAACAAAUCUUCUUAGAGGGACAGGCGG
RNAcentral lists this ribosomal RNA (819 nucleotides) under uncultured eukaryote. RNAcentral's name for it is "SSU rRNA". It matches the Rfam family "Eukaryotic small subunit ribosomal RNA", at positions 629 to 1426 of the family's 1831-position model. The record is from RNAcentral.